GAGCGAACGCUGGCGGCAGGCCUAACACAUGCAAGUCGAACGAACUCUUCGGAGUUCGUGGCGGACGGGUGAGUAACACGUGGGAACGUGCCUUUUGGUUCGGAAUAACUCAGGGAAACUUGUGCUAAUACCGAAUGUGCCCUUCGGGGGAAAGAUUUAUCGCCAUUAGAGCGGCCCGCGUCUGAUUAGCUAGUUGGUGAGGUAACGGCUCACCAAGGCGACGAUCAGUAGCUGGUCUGAGAGGAUGACCAGCCACACUGGGGCUGAGACACGGCCCAGACUCCUACGGGAGGCAGCAGUGGGGAAUCUUGCGCAAUGGGCGAAAGCCUGACGCAGCCAUGCCGCGUGAAUGAUGAAGGUCUUAGGAUUGUAAAAUUCUUUCACCGGGGACGAUAAUGACGGUACCCGGAGAAGAAGCCCCGGCUAACUUCGUG
Molecule: ribosomal RNA, 434 nt
Filed under: uncultured bacterium
Lineage: Bacteria
Description: partial 16S ribosomal RNA
Rfam family: Bacterial small subunit ribosomal RNA
Source: RNAcentral